CGGGUGAGUAACACGUGGAUAACCUACCUAUAAGACUGGGAUAACUUCGGGAAACCGGAGCUAAUACCGGAUAAUAUAUUGAACCGCAUGGUUCAAUGGUGAAAGACGGUUUUGCUGUCACUUAUAGAUGGAUCCGCGCCGCAUUAGCUAGUUGGUAAGGUAACGGCAUUUACCAAGGCAACGAUGCGUAGCCGACCUGAGAGGGUGAUCGGCCACGCUGGAACUGAGACACGGUCCAGACUCCUACGGGAGGCAGCAGUG
Molecule: ribosomal RNA, 261 nt
Filed under: uncultured Staphylococcus sp.
Lineage: Bacteria; Bacillati; Bacillota; Bacilli; Caryophanales; Staphylococcaceae
Description: partial 16S ribosomal RNA
Rfam family: Bacterial small subunit ribosomal RNA
Source: RNAcentral